This 266-nucleotide unclassified non-coding RNA is filed under the name plant metagenome. RNAcentral describes it as "partial contains small subunit ribosomal RNA, internal transcribed spacer 1, and 5.8S ribosomal RNA". The stretch from base 1 to 54 matches the Rfam family "Eukaryotic small subunit ribosomal RNA", at positions 1778 to 1831 of the family's 1831-position model. The record is from RNAcentral.
AGAAGUAAAAGUCGUAACAAGGUCUCCGUUGGUGAACCAGCGGAGGGAUCAUUACCGAGUUUACAACUCCCAAACCCAAUGUGAACCAUACCAAACUGUUGCCUCGGCGGGGUCACGCCCCGGGUGCGUCGCAGCCCCGGAACCAGGCGCCCGCCGGAGGGACCAACCAAACUCUUUCUGUAGUCCCCUCGCGGACGUUAUUUUUACAGCUCUGAGCAAAAAUUCAAAAUGAAUCAAAACUUUCAACAACGGAUCUCUUGGUUCUG